UUGUAGUCCAAAACAUAUGGUCAACCAGAGGUUCCCCACUCCUGUUUUACAAGCAGGCCAUGAGAAAUAAUCAGAAAGAAACACCCUCACUUUCUCAAGGGAUGAGGAAUUUUGGGGAAUAUGGGUGGGGUUUGGCACAGUGCUACCUUUAUUAUAGAUAAUGCCUUUAUAGUAAAAAGGGACACCUGACCAUUAGGUCCAGUCGUGACCGACUCUGGGGUUGUGGCGCUCAUCUCGCUUUAUUGGCUGAAGGAGCCGGCGUACAGCUUCUGGGUCAUGUGGCCAGCAUGACUAAGUCACUUCUGGCAAACCAGAGCAGCUCACGGAAACGCCGUUUACCUUCCCGUCAGAGUGGUACCUAUUUAUCUACUUGCACUUGGACGUGCUUUCGAACUGCUAGGUUGGCAGGAGCUGGGACUGAGCAAUGGGAGCUCACCCCGCCGUGGGGAUUCGAACCGCCAACCUUUUGAUCGGCAAGUCCUAGGCUCUGUGGUUUAACCCACAGCGCCACCCGUGUCCCUGCCUUUAUAGUACAGGACAAGAAUCAUCAGUUUUGAAACCUAACUUGGAUACAAAGGAAGCUGCUUAUCCCAAGUCAGACCAUUGAUCCAUCUAGUAAGCAUAGUCGUAGGCAGCAUUCAAGUGACAGCUUAUUCCAUUUUCAAAAUAUUCUCUUAAUCAUUAAGUUCCUCAUUAUAUGUGAGCUUUCACGUGAUAUAAAAGACAUCUCUGGAACUAUAGGAAUUAAAGCAGAGAGAUGCAGGGAUUAUAGAGUCCCAUCUACAAAUGUCUGCAGUUGUUUUGCCUCAACCCUCUUGAUCAUCUUCUCCAGAAGUUGCAGCAAGCCACCGAUAUAUACAGUAAACAUACAUACACAACCAAUUUGUUUAUAUUUUAAAUUUAAUAUAAAUGUCUUGUUUUGGAACAAAUUAAGUUUGAAGUGUGCUUUUGGGUGAAAUAUUAGGGAUGUAGCUCCCAGAGAUCCAUUGCAUGAGGAAUUUGGCUCUUCAGCUAUAGAAAUUUGACAUUCCUGAGUCAGCAGGCUCCUUGUAAAAAUCCAUCGUAUAGAGGUCAGUUCUUCAUAACCACCAUUUCUCCUCCAGUUAUGGUCCACCUUGAUGCUAAAGUGCAGCCUCCCCCAACCUGGUGCCUUCCAGAUUGGACUGCCCAUCAUGAGCUAACUAAAGUUGAUGGCAAUUUCAGUCUCAAACAUCUGGAUGGCACUAGGUUAGGAAAGGCUCUUAUAGAAGAUGAAUAACAGAAGCAGAGGGUGAGCAAAGAAACCACCCUGCUAUUGAUACACCAGCAUACAAAUCCACUACUUGGCCCUGUUUAAAUGUACAUACCAAUGUUAUUUGGACUUCUGGAGGUAAUCUAAACAAAAUUAUUUGCACUCAUAAUUUAAUGUUUGGAUUUUGCUGUCCAUGUGUUAAUCAGAAAAAUCCACCUGUACCUUCCAAAAAUUUCCAUUUCUGGAUCCUAUGAUGUCAAAGACACAUUGCAGAGAAUGGGUGUGACUGAUGUCUUUUGUGACGAGAAUGCUGACCUGUCUGGAAUUACCGGGGAACCCAAUCUGAAAGUUUCCAAAGUAAGUAUGUGAGGGGGUCUUUAGAAAAGCAUUUCAUGAGAGAUGAUCUGGUUGUGGGCAUUAUUAUUGUGACUACUAUUAUUUGUGCCCUUUCACUCGGCAUGUGCAUUAGGAUGAACGCCAAGGUGGAGGUCGCUUGUCAAAUUCAUAUACCCAAGGUGUUCAGAGCAAAGGGGGAUGAUUGUUUCCAAUCUUUGUCUCCACCGCCUCAGGCAAUGCAUGCAAACAUGCCCAGGAAUAAGGAGAGCUUUCAUCCCUCCUGCAUUAGGUAGCUUCCAUGCCCAGACUAUACUUUGUUUUGGUUAAUGUGGAUUCCUUAUUCUGCAGGUCUUCAGAAUCAUUAUAUUUUUAAAAAAUAAAUAUACCCUUUCUUCCAUACAUUUGUGUCUUGAGUCAUCUUGUGGAUGUGAUGGCAAUGCAUUAUUCUCAAUCUAUGUCGCCAAGACAUUUGGAAUACUACAUACAAUUCAAAUCACCACACCUUAAACAGAACACUGUAGAGUAGGAAAUAAUUUGGAAAAGGCCAUCUGAAACAAUUAUAGGGUAAAGCAACGGCCUAUAGAAUUGUAGAACUGUAGAGUUGUAGAAUUGUGGAGUUGGAAGGGACCGUCAGGAUCAUCUUGUCCAACCAAAUGCAAUGCAGCUGUCGCAUGUGGGGAUCGAACCUGCAAGCUUGGCAUUAUCAGCACCAGGCUCUAACCAACUGAGCCAUAGGAGAGCUUACAAUGUAGAAGUAGGGACAAUGAAAGUAAAUAAAUAAGAGGUGACAUGAUAGUUCAGAAAAGGGCGUCUAAAAGGAUUAUGGGGGUAGAGGAACUCCCUGUUUAUUUGCAGGGGCAGGGAGAGUGGAGGCAAAUAAGGGGCAUGAUAGAGGUGGAGAAGGGGGAAAGAGGGAAGAUCUUACCAUUCAUAAUACUAGAACCCAGAGUCAGCUGGAACUUUUGGAUAUUUACAUGGAAGACAGAGGUAGUUACCCAUCCAGCACACAUGUUAUGGUAGGCUUUCCUCCAUCACAUAUGAAAACAAGUAAUGUGUCACUAUUUCCCUCCAGGCCAUUCACAAGGCUGUCGUGGACAUUCAUGAGGGUGGCACUGAAGCCACCGGAGUCACAGUUAUAGAGUUUUCACCACAGUUUGAAGGUUUUGCUCCUAAUCCUAUCUUUAAGAUCAACAGACCCUACCUGUUUCUAAUUAUGGAAAAGAAAACACACAGUGCCCUCUUCUUAGGGAAAAUUGUGAACCCAACUGAAAAAUGAGUUUGUGAUCAGAUCAAAAUUUCCCAUUGCAAUUUCCCCUGAUCUUUAAAACAUGGAUUUCCUCACUUUGUACUAGCCUAACCCCAGUAGUGUUAUCCAAUUUGCUUUGAAAUUAAAUAAGGCAAUGAGCACAAAUCACUGCUGGAAUAAAAUGAUUUGAAAAUAU
Non-coding RNA from Podarcis lilfordi (Lilford's wall lizard), 3009 nucleotides. The record is from the annotation of a GenBank genome assembly. NCBI's taxonomy places the organism in Eukaryota, Metazoa, Chordata, Lepidosauria, Squamata, Lacertidae.